Molecule: transfer RNA, 69 nt
Filed under: human gut metagenome
Rfam family: tRNA
About the family: Transfer RNA (tRNA) molecules are approximately 80 nucleotides in length. Their secondary structure includes four short double-helical elements and three loops (D, anti-codon, and T loops). Further hydrogen bonds mediate the characteristic L-shaped molecular structure. tRNAs have two regions of fundamental functional importance: the anti-codon, which is responsible for specific mRNA codon recognition, and the 3' end, to which the tRNAs corresponding amino acid is attached (by aminoacyl-tRNA synthetases). tRNAs cope with the degeneracy of the genetic code in two manners: having more than one tRNA (with a specific anti-codon) for a particular amino acid; and 'wobble' base-pairing, i.e. permitting non-standard base-pairing at the 3rd anti-codon position.
Source: RNAcentral
UGCUAUAGCUCAGUUGGUAGAGCGACUGAUUCGUAAUCAGUAGGUCGCAAGUUCAAUCCUUGUUAGCAG